UCACCCGCGGCACAUCUGUCUCCCUGAUCGGUAAUCGCGCGGCCGUCCUUCCUUGUGUCAGAAUAUUUCUCUCUCCUGCAUCUCCGGAAAACACAGCGGCGAACCCAACCGAACCACCUACCUACCUAACCAUUCUCUCUCUCUCUCUCUCUCUCUCUCUCUCUCUCUCUCUCUCUCUCUCUCUCUCUCUCUCUCUCUCUCUCUCUCUCUCUCUCGCUAGGAUGACGGGCAUUUGUCUUUCCCCGCUUAUCAUUCUCGUGCUGGUAGAUGUCCGCUCCUGUGUCCCUCAUAAACACGUCCUUGCCGAAUGUUGCCCGUAUGUUUGUGUCAGGCCGGGCUGGGCGGGGCGGGAAUGGGGGCGGAGAGUGAACAAGGGAGGGAGGGAAGCUAGGUUGGGGUGGGGUGGGGGAGGUGAAGGGAAGGGUGGGAAGCUCGUUUGAGAAAGGUAGGUUAGAUAUAUUUAUUGUAUUAUAUAUUCCACAAUACGAUAUAAUAAAACAUGAUAAAAAUAACAACGAAAUACUAUUAUCUAAGGAAUAUAGAAGCACUUGAAGAUAUUUUUUCAUUUCUAAAAGUCUUGAUUAGCCAGCUGGUGAGGUCACGGUCUCCUACCUUCUGAUUGGCUGGUGGGAGAUUUGAACCUGUCAGUGUGCCGGCGGCGGUGGUGGCAGUCGUGUCCAUUAUGGUCGUAGGUCUCGUAGUAGCGCUUAAUUGGCCUUCAAACACGACCACAGUGCGCGUAAUGUGUCGUGGAGGGAGAGAGGUGACGCGAGGAUGAUGUGGAGGGGCGAGACGACGGAGGUAGUGUGAAGACGAACGAAACAGUGAAGCGGAUAGUGAGGAUGCAGCCGGAGGGUCUAUGGACGGUACCGGUUGUCUCCGGUCCCCGUGCGGCACGCAGCGGGGGGCCAGGGCAAAAGG
Molecule: long non-coding RNA, 921 nt
Organism: Eriocheir sinensis (Chinese mitten crab)
Lineage: Eukaryota; Metazoa; Arthropoda; Malacostraca; Decapoda; Varunidae
Exons: 3
Source: RefSeq, a predicted model, not a curated record